GACGAACGCUGGCGGCGUGCUUAACACAUGCAAGUCGAACGGAAAGGCCCUGCUUUUGUGGGGUGCUCGAGUGGCGAACGGGUGAGUAACACGUGAGUAACCUGCCCUUGACUUUGGGAUAACUUCAGGAAACUGGGGCUCAUACCGGAUAGGAGCUCCUGCUGCAUGGUGGGGGUUGGAAAGUUUCGGCGGUUGGGGAUGGACUCGCGGCUUAUCAGCCUGUUGGUGGGGUAGUGGCUUACCAAGGCUUUGACGGGUAGCCGGCCUGAGAGGGUGACCGGCCACAUUGGGACUGAGAUACGGCCCAGACUCCUACGGGAGGCAGCAGUGGGGAAUAUUGCACAAUGGGCGGAAGCCUGAUGCAGCAACGCCGCGUGCGGGAUGACGGCCUUCGGGUUGUAAACCGCUUUCGCCUGUGACGAAGCGUGAGUGACGGUAAUGGGUAAAGAAGCACCGGCUAACUACGUG
Molecule: ribosomal RNA, 468 nt
Filed under: uncultured bacterium
Lineage: Bacteria
Description: partial 16S ribosomal RNA
Rfam family: Bacterial small subunit ribosomal RNA
Source: RNAcentral